This 263-nucleotide ribosomal RNA is filed under the name uncultured archaeon. Its description in RNAcentral is "partial 16S ribosomal RNA". It matches the Rfam family "Archaeal small subunit ribosomal RNA", at positions 717 to 982 of the family's 1478-position model. The record is from RNAcentral.
ACACGACUACAUUAGAUACCCGCGUAGUCCUAGCCGUAAACGAUACUCGCUAGGUGUCGGCCACGGUGCGACCGUUGUCGGUGCCGUAGGGAAGCCGUGAAGCGAGCCACCUGGGAAGUACGGCCGCAAGGCUGAAACUUAAGGAUUGGCGGGGAGCACCACAACGGGUGGAGCCUUGCGGUUUAAUUGGACUCAACGCCGGGAAGCUCACCGGAUAAGACAGCGGAAUGAUUGCCGGGCUGAAGACCCUGCAUGACCAGCUG